RNAcentral lists this ribosomal RNA (134 nucleotides) under Nostoc sp. HG1. RNAcentral's name for it is "partial 16S ribosomal RNA". It matches the Rfam family "Bacterial small subunit ribosomal RNA", at positions 1 to 136 of the family's 1533-position model. Lineage: Bacteria; Bacillati; Cyanobacteriota; Cyanophyceae; Nostocales; Nostocaceae. The record is from RNAcentral.
UUAAACAACAUGGAGAGUUUGAUCCUGGCUCAGGAUGAACGCCUGGCGGUAUGCCUAACACAUGGCAAGUCGAACGAAGCCUUUCGGGGCUUAGUGGCGGACGGGUGAGUAACGCGUGAGAAUCUGCCAUCAGG